CUAAUCUUUCAACUUUAAAAUAAUAAUAACAAUAAUAAUCGGUAGAAAGUGGAAGUAAGUGUCUUUCAGAUCCACUCUGGAGCACAGCGAGGAAGAUUUGGCCAGCCUGACGGAGUUCAUAGAUCGCUGCUACGACACGCUCGUCAUGGGGAAGCCAAACCAAACCUCAACUCCUGCCGGAGCUAAAGCUAAGAGGCUCCGGGAUGAUAAUUCAUCUGAAGCCAUUUCUCCACCUGGGAACGACUCGACGGAUGUUCUUCUCUCUAUAGAUAAGAAAUUGUCCAGUCUCGACGCUCGUCUGAGCCUGCUGGAAGUGCUCCAUCAGGAAUUCCAAGCUAUACGCCAGUCCCUGGAAUUCAGCCAGCAGCAGGUGGAGAAGCUGACGACGGAGAACACGAGCCUCAGAGAGUCGGUAAAAUCCCUCACAGAGGGGUUCAUCCGACUAUCAGAGGAAAAUAAAAAAAUUAAAGAAACUGUGAUUGAUCUCCAGUCCAGGAGCAUGAGAGACAACCUGGUCUUCUCUGGAAUCCCGGAACAGACGGAGGAAGACCCCGAGUCGACGGCGAAGAAUUUCAGACUCACCUGAAGCUCCCGGAGGAAACCGUUAAAAACAUCGCUUUCCUCAGAGUGCACCGUCUCGGAGGGAAACGACCCGGAGAGCACAGGCCGAGACCCAUCAUAGCAAAGUUUGCUAACUACAAGCAGAAGGAGCAGGUGAAGCGUCAGGGCCGGGAGCUGAAGGGAACCAACUUCGGCGUUAACGAUCAGUUCCCUAAAGAGAUCCUGGAUCGGCGCAGAGCCCUGUUUCCCAUCAGGAAGAAAGCUAUAGCCGAAGGCUCUCGUGCUGUCAUCGCGGUGGACAAACUAUUUAUCAACGGUCAACUGUACCGCGACCAGAACACCACUCCAUGGCUCUUCUGAUGUCAGAUCAAACUUGGCCCAGGAGUUUCCCUGAGCAUGGAGAAAUGGCAGAGGGUGCAGGAGGCCAAAUCAAACUCCCAAUUCUGCAAGUUAUUGGCAGUUUGUAUUUGGGGCACAGAGGGACUGAGAGAGAGAAGCGUCACAGGGGCCAAAUCAAACGCAGCCAAAGACGCUGUCCCCAAGCGUCCCCUGACCCCAGAAAAAGUGGCUGUCAUAAGAGACUGCCUGAGGGACCGGCUUCAGAAAAUGGGCCAUCCAAAAGAGGCCAUUGCACAGCAGCUGGCCCUAGUUAGACGAGCCAUAUCUGAAAAGAUUUGUGAUAUUAGGAAGAGGAGCCCUCAGA
This is a long non-coding RNA of Acanthochromis polyacanthus (spiny chromis), 1264 nucleotides long. RefSeq lists it as uncharacterized. The transcript is spliced from 3 exons. The record is from RefSeq and is a predicted model, not a curated record. NCBI's taxonomy places the organism in Eukaryota, Metazoa, Chordata, Actinopteri, Pomacentridae.